This 1497-nucleotide ribosomal RNA is filed under the name uncultured bacterium. RNAcentral's name for it is "bacterial SSU rRNA". It matches the Rfam family "Bacterial small subunit ribosomal RNA". The record is from RNAcentral.
AACGCUACUAGUAUGCUCAACACAUGCAAGUCGAACGAAAAUUUAUUUUCGUGGCGUACGGGUGAGUAAACGCAGAAUUUUCCCUUUUAGUUCAGGACAAAUGCCAGCUUUAGUUGGUAAAAUACUGAAUAGAUUAUAAAGGUUCACUCCGCUAAAAGAUAAAUCUGCUUAAGAUUAGGUUGUUGGUAAUUUAAAAGCUUACCAAGCCUACGAUCUUUAGUUGGUCUGAGAGGAUGAUCAACCACACUGGAACUGAAAUAAGGUCCAGGCUAAUACGUUGGCCAGCAGUGAGGAAUAUUGGACAAUGAACGCAAGUUUGAUCCAGCAAUACUAACUGGGUGAUGACGGCUUAUUUAAGUUGUAAGAUCCUUUAAUUAAAGAAGAUAAUGACAUUAUUUAAUUGAAUUAGUCCUGGCUAAUACUCGUGCCAGCAGCCGCGGUAAGGCGAAGGGGGCAAGUGUUAUUCGGAAUGAUUGGGCGUAAAGGGUACGUAGGCGGUAGUUGCGAUCGUUUCCAAAAGGCACUCCGAAAAGGGUGUAUCGAAACGCAAUCCAGCUACUAAGAGGGAAGGAGAGGAGAACGGAAUUUCAGGUGGAGCGAUAAUAUGCUUAGAGAUCUGAAGGAACACCCGAGGCGAAGGCGGUUCUCUGGCCUUCAACCUAACGCUGAGGUACGAAAGCAUGGGGAGCAAAUGGGAUUAGAGACCCCAGUAGUCCAUGCCGUCAACGAUGAGAGAUCCGAGGGUCCCUUCUUAGAGGAAGAAGGCGGAGCCUUGGCAGCUAACGCGUAAUCUCUCCGCCUGGGGAGUACGACCGCAAGGUUGAAACUCAAAGGAAUUGACGGGGGCUCGUACAAGCGGUGGAGCAUGUGGUUUAAUUCGACACAACGCGCAAAACCUUACCAAUCCUUGACAUCUUUUGAUCAACUUCGAACGAGAGUUCGAAGGAGACUCCCUUUCGAAAGUAAGGGAGUUACGAAAGACAGGUGUUGCAUGGCUGUCGUCAGCUCGUGUCGUGAGAUGUUUGGUUAAGUCCUUCAACGAGCGCAACCCUUGUUUCUCAUUGCCAACGUUCCCUACCUCUGGUAGGGAAUCUGGAACUUGAGAAAGACAGCCCACGAAAAGUGGGAGGAAGGAGAGGAUGACGUCAAGUCUUCAUGGCCCUUAUGGAUUGGGCUACACACGUGCUACAAUGGUAAUGACAGAAGGAUGCGAAAGGGUGACCUGGAGCAAAUCCAAAAACAUUGCCCAAGUUCGGAUUGUUCUCUGCAACUCGAGAACAUGAAGUUGGAAUCGCGAGUAAUCGCAGAUCAGAACGCUGCGGUGAAUUUGUACCCGAGCCUUGCACAUACCGCCCGUCACACUCCGGGAGAAUUUAGAAUCUGAAGAUUGAACAGACCAAAGGUACUUUUCUUUCCCUCCACAGGAUAGAGAAAAGGUCCCUUGGAUGACUGUUUGCGGUCGAAGGUUUUGACGUUAACUGGAGUGAAGUCGUAACA